Molecule: ribosomal RNA, 321 nt
Filed under: uncultured Pseudomonadota bacterium
Lineage: Bacteria; Pseudomonadati; Pseudomonadota
Description: bacterial SSU rRNA
Rfam family: Bacterial small subunit ribosomal RNA
Source: RNAcentral
AUUGAACGCUGGCGGUAUGCUUAACACAUGCAAGUCGAACGGUAACAGGCCUUCGGGCGCUGACGAGUGGCGGACGGGUGAGUAACGCGUAGGAAUCUGCCUCAUAGUGGGGGGACAAACGUGGGGAAACUCACGCUAAUACCGCAUACGCCCUACGGGGGAAAGCGGGGGAUCUUUGGACCUCGCGCUAUGAGAUGAGCCUGCGUUGGAUUAGCUAGUUGGUAGGGUAAAGGCCUACCAAGGCGACGAUCCAUAGCUGGUCUGAGAGGACGAUCAGCCACACUGGGACUGAGACACGGCCCAGACUCCUACGGGUGGCUG